This 429-nucleotide ribosomal RNA is filed under the name Actinomycetes bacterium. Its description in RNAcentral is "Actinobacteria bacterium partial 16S ribosomal RNA". It matches the Rfam family "Bacterial small subunit ribosomal RNA", at positions 355 to 776 of the family's 1533-position model. The record is from RNAcentral. Lineage: Bacteria; Bacillati; Actinomycetota; Actinomycetes.
UAGGGAAUCUUACGCAAUGGGCGAAAGCCUGACGGAGCAACGCCGCGUGAGUGAUUAAGGUCUUCGGAUCGUAAAACUCUGUUAUUAGGGAAGAACAAAUGUGUAAGUAACUAUGCACGUCUUGACGGUAUCUAAUCAGAAAGCCACGGCUAACUACGUGCCAGCAGCCGCGGUAAUACGUAGGUGGCAAGCGUUAUCCGGAAUUAUUGGGCGUAAAGCGCGCGUAGGCGGUUUUUUAAGUCUGAUGUGAAAGCCCACGGCUCAACCGUGGAGGGUCAUUGGAAACUGGAAAACUUGAGUGCAGAAGAGGAAAGUGGAAUUCCAUGUGUAGCGGUGAAAUGCACAGAGAUAUAGAGGAACACCAGUGGCGAAGGCGACUUUCUGGUCUGUAACUGACGCUGAUGUGCGAAAGCGUGGGGAUCAAACAGG